This 705-nucleotide ribosomal RNA is filed under the name Triticum aestivum (bread wheat). Its description in RNAcentral is "partial small subunit ribosomal RNA". The record is from RNAcentral. Lineage: Eukaryota; Viridiplantae; Streptophyta; Magnoliopsida; Poales; Poaceae.
AUGGAAGAAAGCAGGCCGCCGUUCCGUUCGAUCUGGCGGCGCAAAGGUCAGGGAGGCCUUCUUACAUGUGCCAGUCAAGCGGUUAGGCUCGCCUACAUCAUUACGCUACUCAUUUCUUGUGAAGUAGGCAGCAUGUGUUGCUCCACGGUGGCAGCCCAUGAUAACAGCAUGGACAUGAUCUCGCUGCUGGAUUUCAAGCGGGCCAUCACCAACGACUCGAGGCAAGCCUUGAGAUCCUGGCACGCCGGCGUCCCUCUUUGCCGUUGGAAUGGCGUCGACUGCAGCCCGACGGGGCGAUUCACCAAGCUGUACCUCAGCGAACGAGGGUUGUCCGGCCCAAUUUCACCGUCCCUCGGGAAUCUAACGUUCCUUAGGGAAUUGGACCUGUCCAGUAAUGGCUUCACCGUCGAGAUACCUCCUCUGAACCAUCUCCAAAGAUUGGAGUACCUUGACUUGGGGGACAACUCACUGCGAGGGACCAUUCCAGAUACUCUCACAAACUGCUCCAAUCUACAGGCCCUAUACCUGUAUUACAACUUACUAAUAGGAGAACUUCCCAGCAGUGUAGGCUGCCUAUCCAAUCUAGUGUCGUUAAUUGUUGGAGGAAAUAAUCUCACCGGAGAAAUCCCACCAAGCCUAAAAAACAGUAGUCAGCUUCAAAUCAUCUUGCUUACUGAUAAUAAGAUCACCGGAAUCAUACACUAG